UUGCGGGAGAGUGUGAAAACACAAUCUACCGUGUUUUGGCCGCCGAAGGGGAAAACUGCCCGUAAUCUCUCAGGCACAAAGAACCGU
Molecule: non-coding RNA, 87 nt
Filed under: uncultured Bartonella sp.
Lineage: Bacteria; Pseudomonadati; Pseudomonadota; Alphaproteobacteria; Hyphomicrobiales; Bartonellaceae
Description: Glycine riboswitch
Rfam family: Glycine riboswitch aptamer
About the family: This family represents the bacterial glycine riboswitch. Glycine riboswitches usually consist of two metabolite-binding aptamers domains with similar structures in tandem. The aptamers cooperatively bind glycine to regulate the expression of downstream genes.
Source: RNAcentral